GAUGAACGCUGGCGGCGUGCCUAAUACAUGCAAGUCGAGCGAACAGACGAGGAGCUUGCUCCUCUGACGUUAGCGGCGGACGGGUGAGUAACACGUGGAUAGCCUACCUAUAAGACUGGGAUAACUUCGGGAAACCGGAGCUAAUACCGGAUAAUAUAUUGAACCGCAUGGUUCAAUAGUGAAAGACGGUUUUGCUGUCACUUAUAGAUGGAUCCGCGCCGCAUUAGCUAGUUGGUAAGGUAACGGCUUACCAAGGCAACGAUGCGUAGCCGACCUGAGAGGGUGAUCGGCCACACUGGAACUGAGACACGGUCCAGACUCCUACGGGAGGCAGCAGUAGGGAAUCUUCCGCAAUGGGCGAAAGCCUGACGGAGCAACGCCGCGUGAGUGAUGAAGGUCUUCGGAUCGUAAAACGCUGUUAUUAGGGAAGAACAAAUGUGUAAGUAACUAUGCACGUCUUGACGGUACCUAAUCAGAAAGCCACGGCUAACUACGU
RNAcentral lists this ribosomal RNA (496 nucleotides) under uncultured bacterium. Its description in RNAcentral is "partial 16S ribosomal RNA". It matches the Rfam family "Bacterial small subunit ribosomal RNA", at positions 28 to 506 of the family's 1533-position model. The record is from RNAcentral.